Molecule: transfer RNA, 77 nt
Filed under: Acinetobacter baumannii 1284800
Lineage: Bacteria; Pseudomonadati; Pseudomonadota; Gammaproteobacteria; Moraxellales; Moraxellaceae
Description: tRNA-Met
Rfam family: tRNA
About the family: Transfer RNA (tRNA) molecules are approximately 80 nucleotides in length. Their secondary structure includes four short double-helical elements and three loops (D, anti-codon, and T loops).
Source: RNAcentral
GGCUAUGUAGCUCAGUUGGUUAGAGCACCGCACUCAUAAUGCGGGGGUCACAAGUUCAAGUCUUGUCAGACCCACCA